GGUACAAAAAUCCUUAAGUAAACAGAGCAACCUGAAUCCAAUAUUAAAAGAUUAUUCACUCAGCCUUCAGUAGUGCCAUGAUGGGCAAAAGGGCAGCUGACACUUGGAGAUAUCCCUGUCUGGGGUUUCUUGGUGCUACCAGGGGGACGCUGUGGUCGGCAUCCAACAGCUCUGUUACAAAGGGACUUUGGUCAGUGGGAGUGCUGGGAUCUGGGGUUAUGAUCUGAUGCUUUAAAGCUAAGACC
This 245-nucleotide small nucleolar RNA is filed under the name Dasypus novemcinctus (nine-banded armadillo). Its description in RNAcentral is "Small Cajal body specific RNA 6 (ENSDNOG00000029661.1)". It matches the Rfam family "Small Cajal body specific RNA 6". Rfam says of the family: U88 is small Cajal body specific RNA (scaRNA). scaRNAs are a novel class of small nuclear RNAs which localise to the Cajal bodies. The record is from RNAcentral. Lineage: Eukaryota; Metazoa; Chordata; Mammalia; Cingulata; Dasypodidae.